Long non-coding RNA from Bufo bufo (common toad), 157 nucleotides. RefSeq lists it as uncharacterized. The record is from RefSeq and is a predicted model, not a curated record. Lineage: Eukaryota; Metazoa; Chordata; Amphibia; Anura; Bufonidae. The transcript has 3 exons.
AGAGUUACUAUACACAUGUUGUCACCCCUCCACCAUUGAUAGGAAGGAAGGGGGAAGGGGGGUUUGACCUCAUUCUCAGGGUCUGUGGGGUGCCCAGAGGUUGGACUCCCAUAAUCUAUUCCAUUCCAUUACAAACCCUAGCGUUGAGAGAACCCGA